RNAcentral lists this ribosomal RNA (253 nucleotides) under uncultured bacterium. RNAcentral describes it as "partial 16S ribosomal RNA". It matches the Rfam family "Bacterial small subunit ribosomal RNA", at positions 524 to 776 of the family's 1533-position model. The record is from RNAcentral.
UACGGAGGGUGCGAGCGUUAUUCGGAAUAACUGGGCGUAAAGGGCACGCAGGCGGGCUUUUAAGUGAGGUGUGAAAUCCCCGGGCUUAACCUGGGAAUAGCAUUUCAGACUGGGAGUCUAGAGUACUUGAGGGAGGAGUAGAAUUCCACGUGUAGCGGUGAAAUGCGUAGAGAUGUGGAGGAAUACCGAAGGCGAAGGCAGCCCCCUGGGAAGGUACUGACGCUCAUGUGCGAAAGCGUGGGGAGCAAACAGG